UACGGAGGGAGCAAGCGUUGUUCGGAUUUACUGGGCGUAAAGGGUGCGUAGGCGGCACCACAAGUCACUUGUGAAAUCUUUGGGCUUAACCCAAAGCGGCCAAGUAAUACUGUAGAGCUAGAGUGCAGAAGGGGCAACUGGAAUUCUUGGUGUAGCGGUGAAAUGCGUAGAUAUCAAGAGGAACACCUGAGGCGAAGGCGGGUUGCUGGGCUGACACUGACGCUGAGGCGCGAAAGCUAGGGGAGCAAACAGG
Molecule: ribosomal RNA, 253 nt
Filed under: uncultured bacterium
Lineage: Bacteria
Description: partial 16S ribosomal RNA
Rfam family: Bacterial small subunit ribosomal RNA
Source: RNAcentral